Molecule: ribosomal RNA, 380 nt
Filed under: uncultured eukaryote
Lineage: Eukaryota
Description: partial 18S ribosomal RNA
Rfam family: Eukaryotic small subunit ribosomal RNA
Source: RNAcentral
CGAUAGCGUAUAUUAAAGUUGUUGCAGUUAAAAAGCUCGUAGUUGGAUUUGUGGCGUACGGUGGGUUCCGGGCACUUGUUGUCGGAGUAACUUGCUGUUGCCAUCCUUGGGUGGAACCUGUGUGGCAUUAGGUUGUCGUGCAGGGGAUGCCCAUCAUUUACUGUGAAAAAAUUAGAGUGUUCAAAGCAGGCUUAUGCCGUUGAAUAUAUUAGCAUGGAAUAAUGAGAUAGGACUUUUUUGCUAUUUUGUUGGUUUGCGCAAAGAGGUAAUGAUUAAUAGGGACAGUUGGGGGUAUUCGUAUUCCAUUGUCAGAGGUGAAAUUCUUGGAUUUUUGGAAGACGAACUACUGCGAAAGCAUUUACCAAGGAUGUUUUCAUUAA